UGAGGAAUAUUGGGCAAUGCCCGCAAGGGUGACCCAGCAACGCCGCGUGGAGGAUGAAUGUCGUAAGAUUGUAAACUCCUGUUGGAGGGGAAGAAUAGUACCGGUUGGACCGGUAUAUGACUGUACCCUCAGAGAAAGCCCCGGCUAACUACGUGCCAGCAGCCGCGGUAAUACGUAGGGGGCAAGCGUUGUCCGGAUUUACUGGGUGUAAAGGGCGCGCAGGCGGGAUAAAAAGUCAGUGGUGAAAUCCUACAGCUUAACUGUAGAACUGCCUUUGAUACUUUUAUUCUUGAGUUCGGGAGAGAGAGACGGAAUUCCAGGUGUAGUGGUGAAAGACGUAGAUAUCUGGAAGAACACCAGUUGCGAAGGCGGUCUCUUGGUCCGACACUGACGCUGAGGCGCGAAAGCGUGGGGAGCAAAC
Molecule: ribosomal RNA, 421 nt
Filed under: uncultured bacterium
Lineage: Bacteria
Description: bacterial SSU rRNA
Rfam family: Bacterial small subunit ribosomal RNA
Source: RNAcentral